UGGAUCAGAGCUUGGCGUUGUGUUGGAGUUGGUGUUGGCAUUGGGGUUGGUGUUCCAAAUGGUGGUGGUGUUGCUGCUGCUUGCGAUGAGCUACUACUUGGACUCACCAUUUUAAAGCUCCAACAAUAAUCUGUUCAACAAUCAAAAUGCAACAUAUAUUUAGAUUUCACCAGAUCCAAUUGGGGGUGGAAGCUUUUGCUCUGAAUCAACUCACUAUCACUGAGUCACGACUGGACUGCUGGAGGGGAGCUAGGACCGGGAUCCAUGCCUACCUAAACCUGAGGCUGUGAGUCGAGGGCGGGGAUCUGCUCGAGCUCGACUGCUCCGGUGCUCUAGGUGGCCGUCGACCGGGGUCUGGAUGCGGGACCACCGUUGGGAUUGGGGCUAGGAGGAUGGGACUAGGAGCGGUGGCCUACAGGCCAG
This 423-nucleotide long non-coding RNA is filed under the name Zea mays. Its description in RNAcentral is "long non-coding RNA (ZMAY_LNC003010)". The record is from RNAcentral. Lineage: Eukaryota; Viridiplantae; Streptophyta; Magnoliopsida; Poales; Poaceae.